This 500-nucleotide ribosomal RNA is filed under the name uncultured bacterium. Its description in RNAcentral is "partial 16S ribosomal RNA". It matches the Rfam family "Bacterial small subunit ribosomal RNA", at positions 30 to 523 of the family's 1533-position model. The record is from RNAcentral.
AUUGAACGCUGGCGGCAUGCCUUACACAUGCAAGUCGAACGACAGCGCGGGAGCAAUCCUGGCGGCGAGUGGCGAACGGGUGAGUAAUAUAUCGGAACGUGCCCUAGAGUGGGGGAUAACUAGUCGAAAGAUUAGCUAAUACCGCAUACGAUCUACGGAUGAAAGUGGGGGAUCGCAAGACCUCAUGCUCGUGGAGCGGCCGAUAUCUGAUUAGCUAGUUGGUAGGGUAAAAGCCUACCAAGGCCACGAUCAGUAGCUGGUCUGAGAGGACGACCAGCCACACUAGGACUGAGACACGGCCCAGACGCCUACGGGAGGCAGCAGUGGGGAAUUUUGGACAGUGGGGGAAACCCUGAUCCAGCAAUGCCGCGUGUGUGAAGAAGGCCUUCGGGUUGUAAAGCACUUUUGUCCGGAACGAAACGGGCCGAGCUAAUAUCUUGGCCUAAUGACGGUACCGGAAGAAUAAGCACCGGCUAACUACGUGCCAGCAGCCGCAGUAA